This is a long non-coding RNA of Passer domesticus (house sparrow), 984 nucleotides long. RefSeq lists it as uncharacterized. The transcript is spliced from 2 exons. The record is from RefSeq and is a predicted model, not a curated record. NCBI's taxonomy places the organism in Eukaryota, Metazoa, Chordata, Aves, Passeriformes, Passeridae.
CCCCCCCCCUUCCCCGCUCCCCUCACGGGCGCUCCGCACCUGCGGAGCCGCGCGCGGCCGCGAGCGCGAGCUUCUCCCGCCUUCUGGCCCCGCCCCGCCCCGCCCCGCCCCGCGUGAGGGGCAGGUGCGCGCCCCGGGCCCGGCGUGAGGGGCGGCCGCGGCGCCCCGAGGGAGCCGCGCCGUGAGGGGAGACCGGCAGAGACCCUGCUCCGCCAGGCACAGGGACAUCUCCCGACACUGCUCCCCUGAAAGAGCGGCCCCGCAGCUGGAGUGUGGAGGGCAGCCUGAGCGGCGUGAAGCGCGCCCGGCUCCUCUCCGCUCCGUGCGCCUGAUCCGGACAAGGACGUGGCGUGUCACCCUCCUGCCUGGGUUCUGCCCCAAAACACCCGCUCCCGUGAAUGCUCAUAGCCCCUCGUGCAGUGAUGAGCAUCCCGCCUGCGCUCUCAGCAAAGAUCCAGGGGACCAACAUCUAUCUCAUCAAGACUUGUCUUUGGAAAGGCAGAGACUGAAAAUCUCAACAUCUUGUCAGAGGUGCCAUUUAUCACUCUGGAUGAGUUGAUUGGCAUCCUCAGUCAUAACUGAGCUCUGCAAGUGAACAAGAGUAGAACACCUUCAAUUCUUCUCUUCGUGUCCCCAAAUCCCUAGGUUUUGAAGCCUGCUCACCCCGAUCAAGCCCGUCUGGAUCUCACCGACAUGAAGGAGCUCUCCCUAUGCCUUUCCAGCUGGUCAGUGCAGUACUUCUUGGAGUGACUUCCCAGUGAUGCUAACAGCUUUCCCUGGCACCCCCCAAGCAGAUUGUGGAAGACCAGAGCAGCAAGUGCCUUCCUUCCAACCAGCUCCAGUGGAAUGAUUUUCCCGUAGGAAUUAACCUCAGAAGAAUAGCCCCAGUCCCUCCAGCCAAAGUGCCUCAUUUCCAGGAAAGCCUAUGUCUUGCAUGCCUUUUAAAAAUAAAUAAAUAAAUAAAUAAAUAAAUCCCCAAAUCAA